GACGAACGCUGGCGGCGUGCCUAAUACAUGCAAGUAGAACGCUGAAGAGAGGAGCUUGCUCUUCUUGGAUGAGUUGCGAACGGGUGAGUAACGCGUAGGUAACCUGCCUGGUAGCGGGGGAUAACUAUUGGAAACGAUAGCUAAUACCGCAUGAUAUUAAUUGUCGCAUGAUAAUUAAUUGAAAGGUGCAAUUGCAUCACUACCAGAUGGACCUGCGUUGUAUUAGCUAGUUGGUGAGGUAACGGCUCACCAAGGCGACGAUACAUAGCCGACCUGAGAGGGUGAUCGGCCACACUGGGACUGAGACACGGCCCAGACUCCUACGGGAGGCAGCAGUAGGGAAUCUUCGGCAAUGGGGGGAACCCUGACCGAGCAACGCCGCGUGAGUGAAGAAGGUUUUCGGAUCGUAAAGCUCUGUUGUAAGAGAAGAACGGGUGUGAGAGUGGAAAGUUCACACUGUG
RNAcentral lists this ribosomal RNA (461 nucleotides) under Streptococcus sanguinis. RNAcentral describes it as "bacterial SSU rRNA". It matches the Rfam family "Bacterial small subunit ribosomal RNA", at positions 28 to 471 of the family's 1533-position model. Lineage: Bacteria; Bacillati; Bacillota; Bacilli; Lactobacillales; Streptococcaceae. The record is from RNAcentral.